GCUGAAUAUUGUAAGCUAACACCAGACGUAUACAAAUAAAAUGAAGCUGUUUAUACUAGCAUUAGGACUUUUGGCUAUUUGUUUGAUUGAGUGUAGACACAUUUCAAACGAAAACAGGAUUCAGGAGAGGUGGGUUGACUGGGAUGAUCAUUUUGAUGGUCUAGGCGAGGACAUUGCAGACGCCUAUAAAAAUUCUGUAGAUAAAAUCGACUCAGG
Mytilus trossulus (common blue mussel) is the source of this 216-nucleotide long non-coding RNA. RefSeq lists it as uncharacterized. The record is from RefSeq and is a predicted model, not a curated record. NCBI's taxonomy places the organism in Eukaryota, Metazoa, Mollusca, Bivalvia, Mytilida, Mytilidae. The transcript has 3 exons.